This 74-nucleotide transfer RNA is filed under the name Bacteroidales bacterium. RNAcentral's name for it is "tRNA-His". It matches the Rfam family "tRNA". From Rfam's summary of the family: Transfer RNA (tRNA) molecules are approximately 80 nucleotides in length. Lineage: Bacteria; Pseudomonadati; Bacteroidota; Bacteroidia; Bacteroidales. The record is from RNAcentral.
GCGGAUAUAGUUCAGUUGGUUAGAGCGUCAGAUUGUGGUUCUGAAUGUCGUCGGUUCGAGCCCGACUAUUCGCC